AGCAAAUAGACAUGAAAACCAGAGUUCACUGUGUUCAUCCUACGUGUUCCAGGGCCAGUAACAGAAGCCAGGAUCUGUGAGAAGAGCAGAGGUGAGCCCACGCUCCACACCAGGAGACAGCCGAGGUAAGUGACCAGCAGGGGGGACACACAGACAGAACAGGGACGCACACACACACAUAGAAUAGGGACACACACACACACACAUAGAAUAGGGACACACAG
Pelobates cultripes (western spadefoot toad) is the source of this 224-nucleotide non-coding RNA. The record is from the annotation of a GenBank genome assembly. NCBI's taxonomy places the organism in Eukaryota, Metazoa, Chordata, Amphibia, Anura, Pelobatidae.